Molecule: transfer-messenger RNA, 352 nt
Filed under: Myxococcales bacterium
Lineage: Bacteria; Pseudomonadati; Myxococcota; Myxococcia; Myxococcales
Description: partial transfer-messenger RNA
Rfam family: transfer-messenger RNA
About the family: Bacterial tmRNA, also known as 10Sa RNA or SsrA, is named for its dual tRNA and mRNA-like properties. Its role is to liberate the mRNA from a stalled ribosome. To accomplish this part of the tmRNA is used as a reading frame that ends in a translation stop signal.
Source: RNAcentral
GGGGGUGUACCGGCUUCGACGGGGGUUUUUCAGCUUGUAGAUCGCGUGCCGUGGGGCUCACUCAACCACGCCAAAACAGAGUGAGAAACACAGUUGCCAACGACAGCAACUACGGCCGUUUGGCCAUCGCGGCUUAAUUAACCGCGACGCCCCUGCCCGAGGCGCUCCAGUAGGGCCAGGGGUGUCAUUACAGGAGCUGGUGGGUCCGGAUGCCCCGGCCGGACCCGCGAGACACAAGGGGAUCGGGUCAGCGAAAGCCUGUCGGUGGGCGAGACCUGACCUCAAAUCUCAAAUCUAUCGACUACGCACGUAGAAGUCGCAAGUUAGGGCUUCCGGACCCGGGUUCGACUCC